CAUCUCCUCCAAUAUCCAUAACCACCAGUGCACCCACCCUCCCAAUCCCUAAACCCUCAUUAUCUAGUUCUCCCAAUUCUUCUGAUUCUUCUUCUUCCCCAAAUCUUCGUAAAAAAUCUCUCUAUUUUCGCUCUCAUUCCGAAAAAAACCCCCAGAAAUUUCAUGGAUUUCGAAAUUUUAUUUCCCAAAAUUCCAAACCAUCAUCUUCUCCACGUCAACCUACUUGCAAAUCUGAAAAAAAAACCCUCCCAAGUUUCCUCCUAUCUUGCGCCGCACUUACUUGAACCAGCACGAUACCCACGCCGAUCUGAAUGUCUGCACCGAACACAUAAUUAAGCACAGACUCCCGAUGGCCACAACUUCUUUUAGAUCCGAGCUUCCAAUGCCAUCUCUUCCUGAAUCGGGCAUCGCGGCGGGACAUCUAAUCCACACCCACCCCUUACACCUGAUGUAAACCUUCCCCUUCCCUCUGUUCCCUCUGAUCUCGACGAGCUCUGCUGUUAAAUGGUUAAGCAACUGAUUGCGCCAUAGUGACAUCGCCGGAGUCGACAGUGGCGAGGUUUCUGAGGACGAGGAGGGCAGCUUGCAAGGCUUUAAUCGGACCGCGGUGGUGCUAAGGGGGUUAGAAUGGAGGAGAAUGCGAAUUACUUGCCGUUGAAGAUUAAGGGUAACAAUGGUGUGACGUCGCCAAAGCUGGUGAGGGGGGCCGAAGACAUCUGUGGACACGAUCCACUCGCCGUUAGGUGAAAACCUGGUGACAAUGACGGGUUAGGCGUGCUCGGCGUAAACGACGACAGAUGAUAAAUUUAUAUUUGGGUGGGGUCUAAUUUAUAUUCGGCGUAAACGACGACGUCGAAGGCGUGCUCGGUGUUGGAAGAACGAUGACAGGACAACAGGAACAAAGAAGAACGAUGACAGGACAACAGGAACAAAUUUGUGUGGGGUCUAAUUUAAUUUAUAUUUGUCACGUCACUAUUUAACGGUAAAUUUAAUAGAGUAAAUAACAGUUGUAUGAAAUUGAAAUGAAAUAGUAAUAACUGUAUGAGAUUGAAAUGUUUUAAAGAUAUUGUAAGAAAUUGUAAUUGAUCUCAAAGCUAAGGGGGGUAAAAUAUAAUUUACCCUUAAUAAUAUUGUUAGGACAUUUUUUGUCCAUUGUUGGACUGUCGUAAAACAAGGCCUCUCACCUUUUUGAAAAAAUGACAUUAUUUAAGUUCAAAUUAAUUAGUUUAUAUAAUAUAUAAUAAAUUAUUUAAAUUUGCCUCGUCCGUCUAGGCUUGUAUAUGAACAUUACUAUCCCCUUCACUCUAGUAUUUUUUUUCUAGUUGUAAGAUGUUGUCUUUGUAAUCCAACAAUUCAUUCAUUUAUUGAAUGUAAUAAGUAACAUUUUAACAAUAGAAAAGUGAUUGGAAUUUGACGUACUGGGUAGGGACUUCUCUUUCGAAUUGAAUUGGUUGAAAAAUUAGAUUAUGUAAACUUAAUAAGUGCAUUUGCAUCUAAAAACGCGAGACGAGUAAUAUUUGAGUAAUGUUUGUACAUCUUUCUUCUUUUGAUAUUAAUGUUUAAUGAUAUUUGAUGUAGAAAUAGACAUUUCAUGUAUUUAGUGAAUUUUUUUUAUACAUGUUAAUGUACGAAGGGUCAGGAGUCAGAGAACUCUAGGGUCUCAUUUUGAAGGCUCGCAUAGGGCCCCAAAUUCUCAGGGCCGGCCUUGAUUAGAGUGUUAGUCUCUUAACUAAAAAUUCGUGAAUAUUGAUAUAUGAAUUUGAUGAUGUGAAGUAAUGGUCCUUUCAAUUAAUUCUGUUAUAACUUUUAUAAAAAAAGAUUUAAGGGUGCAAAAACUGGAUAAAAAUUCUAAUGAAGUUAACAAAAAGACCAUUAUUAUAUAUUAUAAAAGGUUCAGAACCAAUACUUACAAAUAUUUAAUUCAAGCAAUAAAACUCCAAUUGAGCUAACGCACAAGGGCUAUUGCUUCAAUUUUUUUGGAAAAGAAAAUGCAAGGGCGCGCGCAAUGCAAGGGACAAGAAAGAAGGGCGAGCAGAGAGACGAUUCCGGAAAGUUUAAUUUUAGCGGUGGAAAAACUGUGAAACAAGUGUAUAAAAAGGGCAAGGAUUGGGAACAAGGAAGAUCGUAGAAGAAGAAGCAACGGUCUUCUUCGAAUAAAACCAUAGAUCGAUAGGAAUUUAAUUAAAUAUUGCGUGAGGAAAGGGUUGAAAUUAAUAGAUCGAUAGGAAUAAGAAAGCUAUAGAUGGCUUCCGUGAUGUAUGCGCUGUUGCUGUGCCUCUCAGCCGGAGCACUUUCGAUGGUCCAGGGUGAAGACCCUUACCUGUUCUUCACAUGGAAUGUCAC
RNAcentral lists this long non-coding RNA (2343 nucleotides) under Malus domestica (apple). RNAcentral describes it as "long non-coding RNA (MDOM_LNC009794)". The record is from RNAcentral. Lineage: Eukaryota; Viridiplantae; Streptophyta; Magnoliopsida; Rosales; Rosaceae.